AUCUUUUCGGUGUCGGGCACAGGAAGGUUUGAGCUUCCUAGAGGGAAAUUUUCACCCAAAAGAUU
This 65-nucleotide transfer RNA is filed under the name Siphonaria gigas (giant false limpet). RNAcentral describes it as "tRNA-Gln". The record is from RNAcentral. Lineage: Eukaryota; Metazoa; Mollusca; Gastropoda; Siphonariida; Siphonariidae.